Long non-coding RNA from Diorhabda sublineata, 436 nucleotides. RefSeq lists it as uncharacterized. The record is from RefSeq and is a predicted model, not a curated record. NCBI's taxonomy places the organism in Eukaryota, Metazoa, Arthropoda, Insecta, Coleoptera, Chrysomelidae. The transcript is spliced from 3 exons.
UUUCAUUAUUCGGACAUUUAAUUUUUAUUUAAGUUAUUUAAUAGUGCAAGUAUAAACUCUCAACAUGAUCCUUACGAGCCAAAUAUGAAUGGCUAAAUAUAAAGAAUAAAUUGAAAUUAGUUAAAAUAAGUAAAAUCACUGAAUAAAAAGUAUCACGUGCCGGCGUUUACGUGGUGAAGAUUCCAGACGUAUUUAAUGAUUGGUCCAUAUUGAAAAACGCUGAAGAAAUAUAGAAUACAGGGCUAGAUAAAGAAAAAUAUUGGAAGUUCAGGCGUCGCUUAGGAACGAACCUGCUCAACUGAUUUCCACGAUUGAAUUCUCAUCAGAUCUCCCAUUUGAGGUGUCACACCUUGCUGGCUUCUCUGACUCGCAUCUCUCAACGCUUCCCUGUUGCGAUCUUCAGCAAACUGUAGUUAACAGUGCGUGCUUAUUUCAG